Molecule: non-coding RNA, 155 nt
Filed under: Elusimicrobiota bacterium
Lineage: Bacteria; Pseudomonadati; Elusimicrobiota
Description: Elusimicrobia bacterium (hydrocarbon metagenome) 6S RNA
Rfam family: 6S / SsrS RNA
About the family: E. coli 6S RNA was the first non coding RNA to be sequenced, but its function was unknown until recently.
Source: RNAcentral
UUUUCCCUGCGGUGUUGGUGUUGAACGAACUGUUUUGAGCCUACAAGCACAAUAUCGGGAAUCUUAGUUCCUUGUAACUUCGGUUGCAAGGACGGGAUACCCACUUAGGAAAAAGUGCUUCAAACUUUUUGUUCUCACGGCAUUGCGGGGAUUUU